This 117-nucleotide small RNA is filed under the name Salmonella enterica subsp. enterica serovar Heidelberg str. B182. Its description in RNAcentral is "isrA". Lineage: Bacteria; Pseudomonadati; Pseudomonadota; Gammaproteobacteria; Enterobacterales; Enterobacteriaceae. The record is from RNAcentral.
CCCCUGUGAAAUCUUCACGGUCACGCCGCGCCCGGUCUUAAAUCCCGCUUCCGCUGUAAGUAUCCCGCAUAAUCGAGCCAUUCACAUUUAGAGAUCAUCCGACAUAAUCAAUCUGCC